AAAUGACUCUCGGCAACGGAUAUCCCGGCUCUCGCAUCGAUGAAGAACGUAGCGAAAUGCGAUACUUGGUGUGAAUUGCAGAAUCCCGUGAACCAUUGAGUCUUUGAACGCAAGUUGCGCCCGAAGCCACUAGGCUAAGGGCACGUCUGCCUGGGUGUCACGC
Molecule: ribosomal RNA, 163 nt
Filed under: Myrrhis odorata (sweet cicely)
Lineage: Eukaryota; Viridiplantae; Streptophyta; Magnoliopsida; Apiales; Apiaceae
Also listed under: 9 other names
Description: 5.8S ribosomal RNA
Rfam family: 5.8S ribosomal RNA
About the family: 5.8S ribosomal RNA (5.8S rRNA) is a component of the large subunit of the eukaryotic ribosome. It is transcribed by RNA polymerase I as part of the 45S precursor that also contains 18S and 28S rRNA.
Source: RNAcentral